GGUGGCAGGGUAGUCUAGUGGUUAGAGUGUAGAGGUGGCAGGGUAGCCUAGUGGUUAGAGUGUAGAGGUGGCAGGGUAGUCUAGUGGUUAGAGUGUAGAGGUGGCAGGGUAGUCUAGUGGUUAGAGUGUAGAGGUGGCAGGGUAGUCUAGUGGUUAGAGUGUAGAGGUGGCAGGGUAGCCUAGUGGUUAGAGUGUAGAGGUGGCAGGGUAGUCUAGUGGUUAGAGUGUAGAGGUGGCAGGGUAGCCUAGUGGUUAGAGUGUAGAGGUGGCAGGGUAGUCUAGUGGUUAGAGUGUAGAGGUGGCAGGGUAGCCUAGUGGUUAGAGUGUAGAGGUGGCAGGGUAGUCUAGUGGUUAGAGUGUAGAGGUGGCAGGGUAGCCUAGUGGUUAGAGUGUAGAGGUGGCAGGGUAGUCUAGUGGUUAGAGUGUAGAGGUGGCAGGGUAGCCUAGUGGUUAGAGUGUAGAGGUGGCAGGGUAGUCUAGUGGUUAGAGUGUAGAGGUGGCAGGGUAGCCUAGUGGU
Long non-coding RNA from Oncorhynchus keta (chum salmon), 517 nucleotides. RefSeq lists it as uncharacterized. The record is from RefSeq and is a predicted model, not a curated record. NCBI's taxonomy places the organism in Eukaryota, Metazoa, Chordata, Actinopteri, Salmoniformes, Salmonidae. The transcript has 3 exons.